Long non-coding RNA from Oncorhynchus tshawytscha (Chinook salmon), 816 nucleotides. Lineage: Eukaryota; Metazoa; Chordata; Actinopteri; Salmoniformes; Salmonidae. The record is from Ensembl.
GAACGUUCCCGACUGCUCUCUGUCCUUUUAACGUGGAACGUUCCGUUUGUCCUUUUAACGUGGAACGUUCCCGACUGAUCUCUGUCCUUUUAACGUGGAACGUUCCCGACUGAUCUCUGUCCUUUUAACGUGGAACGUUCCGACUGCUCUCUGUCCUUUUAACGUGGAACGUCCCGACUGAUCUCUGUCCUUUUAACGUGGAACGUCCCGACUGCUCUCUGUCCUUGGAACGUUCCACGUUAAGACACGUUAAAUUGUGUUACAGUAAAGUCUUUAUUAAACUCCUUCCUGCUCCUAAACUACAGAGGAUAUUGGGUCAGACCCCCUCUCUCUCUCAAGCAUGAUGCCUCUCCCAAUAAGUGUUUUGUAAUUUUAUAAAAUACCAGAUUAGUUUAAUCUCCACUGUAAUUUGUAUUUUAUUUCAUGUGUAAAGGUCUAACAUGUCCUGUUCAGGAACUACAUUAGGAGUAGAUUAGGAGUUACUACAUUAGGAGUAGAUUAGGAGUUACUACAUUAGGAGUAGACUACAUUAGGAGUAGACUACAUUAGAGUAGACUACAUUAGGAGUAGAUUACAUUAGGAGUAGAUUAGGAGUAGACUACAUUAGGAGUAGAUUAGGAGUUACUACAUUAGGAGUAGAUUAGGAGUUACUACAUUAGGAGUAGACUACAUUAGGAGUAGAUUACAUUAGGAGUAGAUUACAUUAGGAGUAGAUUAGGAGUAGACUACAUUAGGAGUAGAUUAGGAGUAGACUACAUUAGGAGUAGACUACAUUAGGAGUAGAUUACAUUAGGAGUAGAUUACAUUAGGAGUAGA